GCACAACAGAAGAAGUUAUAGGCAAUGGAAGUUUGGUGCAAAUCCAACGCGGUCCCGCCACUGUGAUAGACCGAAUUCGCGGUCUUAAGUCAGGUCUUUUGCCUAGUAACUUUGCUGGACCAGUCAUUUCGAGGCGAAAGUGGCUGGUUUAC
This is a regulatory RNA element of Paenibacillus dendritiformis C454, 152 nucleotides long. The record is from Rfam. Lineage: Bacteria; Bacillati; Bacillota; Bacilli; Caryophanales; Paenibacillaceae.